Molecule: unclassified non-coding RNA, 2468 nt
Filed under: Drosophila yakuba
Lineage: Eukaryota; Metazoa; Arthropoda; Insecta; Diptera; Drosophilidae
Description: GE14544
Source: RNAcentral
UGUCUGUUAAUAAAGUUAUGCAAUAGUAAUGUUUAUUCCAGAAAUCCAACUAUAAUAUUGUGUACUUUGAAAUAUUUAUAAAAUCAUUCACAUAUGUAGAUACCAAUUCUAUUGUAUAUGUAAGCUAUCUUCCAUUAGAAAAGCAAAUAUAUGCAUUUAUAAAUAAUUUUGUGCGUUUACCUAGCAUAUUACUUUUCAAAUCUCUGUAUAAAUGUUAACCUACCUUCUAAAAAUAUGUAAUGUGCUAAUGCACUGACAAUUGAUAUGUAUCAAACGUAGUGUCAAACUUAAAAAUGUGCACGUCGAACCCCUGUAUAUACAAUAAAAAAGUAUACAGACCUAUCGGUAUUUAUUUAUAAGAUACCAUCCUAAAUCUGUCUGUCAACGUAAAAUAUGGAAUCUGCAAAGAAACACGAAAAAUCUGUGAACUAUUUGACGACAUUGAGAAGUCCCAUGGCGGUCGUAAAAAAAAGGUCAGGGCCGUUGGAAAGAGCUCUUGAGGAAGUGAACGACGGUACAGCCGUAUCGGAAAUAUGGUCGUUGCCGUCAGAAGACCCACAUUGUCCAGAUGCCUUUAGCAUGCGUAAGCCAGUGAAUUUUGGAAGUAAGCUCUUUGAAGGAGCUCCUUCUCCAAAUAAACUGCGACGUCGCAGCACAAAAGACAAGGAAAAAAAACGCGAGCGCUGGCUUCUAACUCGAAAAACCUGGAGAUAUAUGACAGAUGCAGGCCGCAAGCUAAUUCCCGAUGGUUAUCAAACUGGGUCAUGUAAUCAUGACCUAAUUAAAGAUCAAUUUCAACGGGUGUGUUUAUCUGAACCAAGUUUUAUUUUAUGGAGUCGAAGAACAUCAUAUCCAGGAGCAUUCAGCAGUUCUAAGCGGAAAUUAAAACCAUUGUCGAGGCACGCAAGUGCCACCCGCAGAAAACAUGCAGUUGGUGCAACAAAAGAUUAUCAUAUUGCCGAUCGAGUCAUCGAAUUAUUACAGACGUAUCUUCAACUUCGUGAUGCAUACAAAACCACAACAUUACUUGGAACUAAAACGGUUCGGCCAGACCAAACAUCAUCUCCUAGUGCACAAAGGCCUAACUUUAAAAACAAGAGUGACAACCAUCAAGUAAUGUCAUCCGGCACAUCGAUUCAAAGCGAGCUUUUGUCCCAUCUUAAAUUGUUAUCUAAUAGCCCUAUAUUUGCACAUGAGGGAGUUCAGUUUAAGUUUGACAAUGCACACCUAGACAUUCUCGAAGACAAAGUUCUUUUGAAGAAAAUCUAUAGCGCACUUAAAAAACAGCAGCUUCAUCGAACGCUACAUUCCAAUGAUCCGUAUAUCGAUAAUAUUUCAACUUCAUUGUCUUGCUUAUUAAAAAAUGGAAUGCAAUUAUCUAGAGGUAUCAUUGAUAUAAACAAUAAGUUACUACAUGAAAAUUUUGUAUGUCUUAAGAAUUGUGAUACUACCCCCCUUUUAUCAAGCGCAAAAACAGAACUUUAUUUAGAUCUGAAUAAAGUCCCACAAAACGUUGAGUUUAAAAACGAAUGCCACUCGAACGGGCAGAUCGUUGAAAGAAUCCUAAAAACCUGUGGAACUCAAACGAACUUUAUUCAACUUAGCGAGCUAAAAACUUUGGCGCAGCAGUACAACCCUAUGGUAAAAAAUUGCAAUACUACUGAAGAGCCAAAUAAAAAUAACUGUUUAAAAUCUUCCAAUUUAAUAAGUAGGAAAAGUUCAAUUGACGAAGAUAUUUCUCAAUCAGUUAGCGAUACGAUUAAACGGUAUUUAAACAUGGCAAGAAAAAAAAGUAUGCAAGAUUCUGACUCAAACCGAUUUAAAUCGAUUAACUAUGACAAAAACUUGAGAAAUAUCAAAGCAAAGGGCGUAAUAAAUCCACCGGGAAUAAGUGCAGGAUUACACAAAGCUGUACAAACGUUAAAUGCUUGGCCUCUCAUAGCUUUGGAUUUUAUACGGGGAAACGAAUGUUCUUCAAAUCUUAAAAACGCUCACUUAGAAUGGUUAAGAUUAGAGGAUGAGCGAAGUCAGAUACAUUUAGAGUGGGAAAAAAAUCUAACAGAAAUAAGGAGUAAAGUGCACACAAAUCCACAAAUUGCAAGUCCGGGAAACAGCCAUACGUAUUCCAAGUGCAUUUCUGCACCUACUUCGCCGACUAGUCAUUCAAAGUUAGAAAAGGCUAUAAAGACUUCCAGCGGACUAAUAUCUUCGAGCUCUCAAUUUAUUUUAAAUAUUUUGCACGGACAUAGCAAUGCUGGACACAAUUUUAACACAUUUACAGACAAAUUCCUGGAUUCAAAUGGAAGGGUGAAUGGAAGAGUAACUAUUUAAUGUCCAAUUGGAGUUAAAUAUUAUAUUAAAGUUACCGAAAAACAUAUCAGAUCAGGGUCAUGCAACGGCAAGUAUGCAGAAGUCAAAAUCGUUAUCUAAUGUGGGCCAAUUUGUAACAAAACGAAUGUGGCGGAGUC